GCCUGCCGUUGGGAUCAGUAUCUGCACGCUACACCACGAAACAGAUGUAGUCAUUAUUUAUCAGUUUUACAGUUUAGGGAGAUUUUCUGGUAGGUAGUGGUUUCCCCUCACAUCCAUCCUCAGAGGAACUUUGGAGGAGUCUCCCUUUCUGAAACAGCUUUCGGAUGCUCUUCUGUGGACACACGCUGACCACACCUGAAACACAAGGCCUUUCUCAAUCUAGUGAGCUCUAGAGUGAUUGACUGACUUUACACAGCCACCAGGAAAGCUCCCAGGGUUUUUCUCCAGUCUGUUUGGAAAUAGAUGUGUUUACGAAGGAUGAAAUAUUUCAGGAAUGAAAUCAUCGCUGGAUUUACCAAAGUUUGCGCGAUCUGAAGUUUGCAGUGGAUUGUGGGGGAACACCAUGAGGAGGCUUUUUGACCUGGAUAUGAAGCUGAAGAUCUAGUUCAACCUCCACGUAUCCCAAUGAUCCUGGAGACUGAACACCUGCUUCCCUCUGUUCUUCCUGUCAUCCAACACCUCGGCGUUACACCUGAAAUUAGAGCACACACACACAACACACACACACACACGCGCGCGCUGGUGUCCUCCUCCAGGCAUGUGCUCCGUUCAGCCGUGUAGAGGUGAUUUUUCAUUUUGACAGAUCAUCAGCUUUUCGUUCAUGAGAGAUGUGGAGAUACUGGUUUGCCGAGCGCGACCGUUCACUUUUGACCUCUUUAACCAGUGAGAAGCAGGCCUCUGCUUUAGAUCAGCUCAUGGAUCAUGAACACUUCGCUUAUUCCAAAAGCAUCCUGAACAUUUCUGCUGCGUGGCUGAAGGAGUGGCACAGUUUCUGUCCCAUCAUGCAUCUGUAAGCAUCUGUGUCCAUCCACCUGUGUUCAAAUAGACCUGCUUCUGACCUUGUAACUGACAGACAUCGAGUGAUAAGUCCAUUACAGGAUGCUGGAAAACACUUGAUGUGUCUCGUAUGGAAUGAAGGAUUACCAACAGCAGUCUGAAGAGACAAACAGCCUGAUCAAUGUUUUAACACAACGUCCCGUCUCAAAGACCAAACCAGUUCUACUGAUUCAACCUCCAACUGUGAUACUGAUUUCACACCGAUUCAUUU
This is a long non-coding RNA of Carassius auratus (goldfish), 1108 nucleotides long. RefSeq lists it as uncharacterized. The transcript is spliced from 5 exons. Lineage: Eukaryota; Metazoa; Chordata; Actinopteri; Cypriniformes; Cyprinidae. The record is from RefSeq and is a predicted model, not a curated record.